Molecule: ribosomal RNA, 467 nt
Filed under: uncultured bacterium
Lineage: Bacteria
Description: partial 16S ribosomal RNA
Rfam family: Bacterial small subunit ribosomal RNA
Source: RNAcentral
ACGAACGCUGGCGGCGUGCUUCACACAUGCAAGUCGAGCGGAAAGGCCCUGCUUUUGUGGGGUGCUCGAGUGGCGAACGGGUGAGUAACACGUGAGUAACCUGCCCUUGACUUUGGGAUAACUUCAGGAAACUGGGGCUAAUACCGGAUAGGAGCUCCUGCUGCAUGGUGGGGGUUGGAAAGUUUCGGCGGUUGGGGAUGGACUCGCGGCUUAUCAGCUUGUUGGUGGGGUAGUGGCUUACCAAGGCUUUGACGGGUAGCCGGCCUGAGAGGGUGACCGGCCACAUUGGGACUGAGAUACGGCCCAGACUCCUACGGGAGGCAGCAGUGGGGAAUAUUGCACAAUGGGCGGAAGCCUGAUGCAGCAACGCCGCGUGCGGGAUGACGGCCUUCGGGUUGUAAACCGCUUUCGCCUGUGACGAAGCGUGAGUGACGGUAAUGGGUAAAGAAGCACCGGCUAACUACGUG